This 671-nucleotide ribosomal RNA is filed under the name uncultured bacterium. Its description in RNAcentral is "bacterial SSU rRNA". It matches the Rfam family "Bacterial small subunit ribosomal RNA", at positions 111 to 794 of the family's 1533-position model. The record is from RNAcentral.
UAAUACAUAGGUAACCUACCCUUAAGACGAGGAUAGCCAUUGGAAACGAUGGAUAAAACUGGAUAGGAUAUAGAGGAAGAAUCUUUUAUAUUUAAAAGAGAGAUCUGCUUAAGGAGGGGCCUGUGGCGCAUUAGCUAGUUGGUGGGGUAAGGGCCUACCAAGGCGAUGAUGCGUAGCCGGACUGAGAGGUUGAACGGCCACAAUGGAACUGAGAACGGUCCAUACUCCUACGGGAGGCAGCAGUAGGGAAUUUUCGGCAAUGGGGGGAACCCUGACCGAGCAACGCCGCGUGAACGAAGAAGUUAUUCGUAAUGUAAAGUUCUUUUAUCAGGGAAGAAAGAGGAAUUUGACGGUACCUGAGGAAUAAGCUCCGGCUAACUACGUGCCAGCAGCCGCGGUAAUACGUAGGGAGCGAGCGUUAUCCGGAAUUAUUGGGCGUAAAGGGUGCGUAGAUGGCAUAGUAAGUCUUUUGUAAAAAUGCUGGGCUCAACCCAGUAGGGCAAAAGAUACUGCAAAGCUAGAGUAUGACAGAGGCAAGUGGAACUACAUGUGUAGCGGUAAAAUGCGUAAAUAUAUGUAAGAACACCAGUGGCGAAGGCGGCUUGCUGGGUCGAUACUGACAUUGAGGCACGAAAGCGUGGGGAGCAAACAGGAUUAGAUACCCUGGUAGU